Non-coding RNA from Picea glauca (white spruce), 121 nucleotides. The record is from Rfam. Lineage: Eukaryota; Viridiplantae; Streptophyta; Pinopsida; Pinales; Pinaceae.
ACACGCGUACAACAUAGUGGUAAUGCACAUAAUCCCAUUAGAACUUUAAAGUUAAGCGCACUCAGGCUAGAGUAGUAUUGGGAUGGGUGACCACCCGGGAAGUCCUAGUAUUUUACAUGCC